GUGCUCACUUCGGCAGCACAUAUACUAAAAUUGGAAUGAUACAGAGAAGAUUAGCAUGGCCCCUGCGCAAGGAUGACACCAUUGCAUACACUAGCAAGAUUUUG
Molecule: small nuclear RNA, 104 nt
Organism: Mus caroli (Ryukyu mouse)
Lineage: Eukaryota; Metazoa; Chordata; Mammalia; Rodentia; Muridae
Source: RefSeq, a predicted model, not a curated record